Choloepus didactylus (southern two-toed sloth) is the source of this 163-nucleotide long non-coding RNA. RefSeq lists it as uncharacterized. The transcript is spliced from 3 exons. Lineage: Eukaryota; Metazoa; Chordata; Mammalia; Pilosa; Megalonychidae. The record is from RefSeq and is a predicted model, not a curated record.
UGCCAGGAUGUCGUACGCUACAGUGUCAAAACUAUGUCAUUACUCCAUGAAGAAGGCAGCCUCCUUUCUUGGGAUUGGUACUGAGAACGUUUGCUUUGUGGAAACAGAUGGAAGAGGUAAAAUGAUACCUGAGGAACUGGAAAAACAAGUCUGGAAAGCCAGA